GCAUAAUCAUUUGCCAUUUAAUUGGUGGCUAGAAUAAAUGAAUACACGAAAGUUAAGCUGUCUCAUUUUUAUACAUAAAAAUUGACCCCCUGGUGAAGAGACCAGUAUUAAACAAAAAGACGAAAAGACCCUAUAGAGCUUUACCCUAUAUAUAAUUAUCUUAAAAAGGGUUUAGUUGGGGCAACUAGAGAGAAUCUAAAUCCUCUCUUACAAAAACUUAUACUGAUCCGUUAAUCGACCAGAAGAGAAAGCUACCUUAGGGAUAACAGGCCAAUCCUUUUUGAGAGACCAUAUUGACAAA
RNAcentral lists this ribosomal RNA (301 nucleotides) under Pygospio elegans. Its description in RNAcentral is "partial 16S ribosomal RNA". It matches the Rfam family "Bacterial large subunit ribosomal RNA", at positions 1959 to 2512 of the family's 2925-position model. Lineage: Eukaryota; Metazoa; Annelida; Polychaeta; Spionida; Spionidae. The record is from RNAcentral.